RNA transcript from Penaeus indicus, 7720 nucleotides. RefSeq lists it as uncharacterized. The transcript is spliced from 2 exons. Lineage: Eukaryota; Metazoa; Arthropoda; Malacostraca; Decapoda; Penaeidae. The record is from RefSeq and is a predicted model, not a curated record.
CUGCAGGGACAAAAUGUAUACUUAGUUAUAAACAAUCAGUUCCUAUGCUUUGUGAUAUUACUAACAUUAGGUUAAGUAUGAAAUAGAUGAGUAUACCCUCAUAUCGUUUUCUAAGGUGUACGACAUCUAUAGGGCAUUUGCAUAACUAAUCAUCAUAAACAUUGGGAGCCAUUUUGUUACUCAGAGAAGCCAAGUGAGGUGUCUGAGGUAAUAUAUCUGCUUAUAUCUUUGUAAUCUUGUGAUAUAUUUUUAUAUUAGUAUAAGUAAAUGAUCUAUUGUUAUAUAAAGACCUAAUUGAAGGAGAAUGUAAUAUGAAUAUUGAGCUAUAUUGUGUGAAAUAAGAGUUUUAUGUCAAGCAUGUAUUAGUGGAAGAUUUGUUCAUUUCAGUUUAACGGAGAUAAUUGGGAAAUAAUUGGACUAGAAAUGGAUGGUAAUGAAUUGCAUGUAAAAAGAAGAAUUCAAGAUGUAUCGAAGAUGCAAUAAAGUACCACAAAAAGAUCCCAAGCGUUUCCAGUGAAACCCACCGGUUCUUGGCUCUCUGCAACAGUUAAACUCAGCCCACAACAGAUGGAUACACUGAGUUACAGUUAAACUCAUCGCAUCAGUUAAACUCAAGACCUUCUGCAUGCAGUUAAACAUGCAAAAGUAAAAGAUCAGUCCAGAACUACAGUUAAACUCACAUCCUCAUGAGUUCAGAUUCAAGACCUCCUGUAAGCAGCAGUUACAUACUUCAGUGGGGAUGCUCGUGAGAGGAUUCACAUCUGUCAACCCAUCUUGCAAGAUAAUUCAAGGUCAAGAAGGAUAGAAGAACGGUGUGAAUGUUCGUGGGAAUCCAAAGGCAAGAGGAUAACCUAUAAAUUACUGGAAGAUUUCUGCUCUUUAAAGAAGCUCUUCAUUUCUACAGGUCCCAAAGGCUAGUGAACUUUUAACUAAUAGGUAUAGAUUGUGUGUUUUAAGUUCCAUAUAGGUCAGUAGACAAAUAGUAGUUGUAAUAAUGAGUGCUACUGAAGAAGCUGUAGGUGACCAACCUCAGGUAACUGGGGCCAGUGAGGUAAUGAAAGGUGCUAGGAAAAAGGUUUUAACAGAAAAAGGGCGUGAGUAUCAAAUAACACAGUAUAUAAAGAGGUUAUCAUCUGCUAAGCUAGCAUGGAAAAAGGUAUUAUCAGAGAUAUUACCAAGUCUUGAUAGUGUAGUAUGCUUGGAUCAACUUAAUGUUCAUAGAAAGGCAGAAGAGUCACAGUUUAAAGAAGUUGUAAAUGCCUUUAACUUGUUAAUGGAAGUAGAUCCAAGUUCUGAGGAUGAAUUGUUACAAGAGUUAAAGUUUGAGACUGAGGAGCACAAUAAUUGUAUGCAAAAAAUUGAGAGUAAAAUGCAUGAGUUAAAACAAGAAACAAAUUCAGUAAAUUCACAACAAAGUAGAUCAUCAAAGCACUCCCAUUCAACAAAGAGAUCUAUGCAUAAUGUUACACAGAAUGAAAGAAUACAAGCAGAAUUAGCUAAGCUACAAAUUGAGCUUCAGCUUCAUAAAAAGGAAACAGAGUAUAAGAUGUUCAUGAUAAAUCAACAGAGGAUCAUGAAAGAAAAAGAAUAUGAGUACAAAAAGUUUCUUUUUAUGAGAAAUAGGUUUCCAUCUCAAAAAGAAGUAGAGAAAGCCAGUCUAGAAGAAAAUCAGCUAGAAUUGUCUCAAAGUAAAGAUCUAGAUGAUAGUAAAGAACUUCAUCUUCACAAAUAUUUUGAAUCUAUUGAUAAAUUGACAGAGGUUGAGAAAGUAAAUCCUACUUUACCAAAACAAGAAAUAGCUGCUAAUGAUGUAUCAGGUAUGGGUGAAUUAGAGAUAGAGGUGUCUAAAUUAGAGAAUACCUUCUUAAAAGCAAGUCCAGAGCUUAAGCUACAAACAAAGAGUUUUGAGCCAAAAAGAGAGUUUCAAGAUUUGAAUGCAUCAUUUGGGCAAGGUAGAUCAAGUCAACCUAUAGACCUUAAUGUACUCAAAGAUGUAUUAAAUAUUUUAUCAUCUAAAAGUAAAAGUGAAUUGCCUAAACUAGAACCAGAAAUUUUCAGUGGAGAUUUAUUGGAGUUUCCAACCUGGCUUCAAACCUUUGAGAUUUUUAUAGAAUCAAGAGUUACAGAACCUGCAGAGAAACUUUUCUAUCUAGGUCACUAUACAAGUGGGGAAGCUAAGGCUGCCAUUAAAGGACUUCUUCGUAUCCCCAAAGAAGAAGCUUAUCUUGAGGCUAAAGGUAUAUUAAUGGAUAGGUUUGGAAAUAAGUUUAUUGUGGCAAAUGCUUUUAGAAGUAAAUUAAAUGAAUGGCCAAAGAUUUCAAAUAAGGAUGGUCAUGCACUACAGGAAUUGUCAGACUUCUUAAAGAAUUGCUUAACAGUAAUGAGAACAACAGACUACCUUAAUAUUUUAAAUGAUCCUCAAGAAAAUGGUAAAAUGUUACAGAAGUUAUACCCAGCUCUUAUAGAUAGAUGGAAUUCUGUAGUUUACAAAUGGUCCUCAAGUGAUGCAGGUUACCCUCCAUUUUCAGUUUUUUGUGAAUUUAUAGAAGUGGAGGCAAAGAAAGCUCGCCAUCCAAUCUCAUCACAAAAUGCAGUAAUGACAAGGAAUCAGAGUCAUAAUAUCAAUGUUUCAAUGAGUAGUAAGAAGGGUAAACCAGAAUUAAACAAGUCUGGGACAAAAAGGUUUGUGACUAACUCAACAGGUGUAAAAGAAACAAAGGUACAUAGAGAUGACAGGGGACAAAGUCCAGACAAACCAUAUUGUAAUUUUUGCAAGGUUGAUCAUGAACUUGAUAAAUGUAAAGGGUUUAAUGGACUUGAUAAUAAGGCAAAAUUUGAAUAUGUCCAAAAAUCAUUUCUUUGUAGGGGUUGUUUAAAACAUGGCCAUAUUGUUAAAAACUGCAAAAGAAAGAAUAUAUGCACAGUAUGUAAGAGACGUCAUCCAACAUCUCUUCAUGAGGCUAUACUUGAAAGAAUAAAAGAAAGGGAAGCCUUACUCAAAAUGUAUAAGGAACAAGAGGCUGGAAAUACAGUAACAUUGUCAAAUGAAACUAAUAUAAAUGAAGACAAGGUAAACUCCAGCAAAGUUAAUGAGGAACUCAAAGAUAGUGCAGUUUCCAAUAAAAUAAAGAUAUUGAGAAAAUCAGAGGAUAUGAUGCAUUCCAUGAUAGUACCAGUAUGGAUACAUCAUGAAAGUAACAUACGUAAAAAGGUAUUGGUUUAUGCAUUAUUGGAUGAACAGUCAGAUGCAUGUUUUAUUAAAGAAUCCACCAUGAAUGAGCUAAACAUUCUAGGCUCCAAGGUACACCUAAAGUUAACAACAGUGACAGCCGAAGAAACAAUUGAAAGUACAAAGACUAGAGGACUAAUAGUAUGUGGUAAAAAUGAAAAGAUAGAGAUUGCACUUCCAGUCACUUAUUCAAGGAAGAAUAUACCAGCCAGACAUGAUCAAAUUCCAAGGCCAGAAAGUGUAGAAGGGUGGCCUCAUUUACAGAGAGUAGCAAACGAAUUGAUGCCAUACGAUAGAAGUGUUGAAGUUGGGCUCCUGAUUGGCUUAAAUUGUAUCCGUGCCAUCAAACCAAGAGAGUUAAUUCCCGGGAAAGAUGACGAGCCUUAUGCAAGGAGAACUUUGCUUGGUUGGAGUAUAAUAGGGAGAGUCAAUGGUGAUUGUCAAGACACAAGUGACUCAGAUUCAGUUCUAGCUAGCAAAGUAAUAGUCAAUAAGGUUAUCAUUAAUGGUGACACAAAAUGUAGCUUUCUUUCCUCACCAACUAAAGUAAAGGAAAUAAUUGAUUUUGCACAAGUUCGAAAAUUGUUCGAGCUUGAUUUCAGUGAAAGGGAGACAGGAAAUGUUCCUUUUUCGUAUCAAGACAAGAUUUUCUUAAGAAAAAUGAAAGAUGGAAUUCAUCAACUAAAAGAUGGGCGUUAUGAAUUGCCACUCCCUCUUAAAGAUGAUAAGGUCAAGUUUCCAAAUAGUAAAGAAUUAGCAAUGUGUAGGUUGAUGAGUCUAAAGAGGAAGCUAAAGCAAAAGAAUGGUUUUCUACAGGACUAUGUUGCCUUUAUGAAAGAUCUCAUAGACAAAGGCUAUGCAGAAGAGGCACCAUACCAGGGUCCAAAUUUCAAUGAUGGAAGAGUAUGGUAUAUACCACAUCAUGGUGUGUAUCAUCCAAAGAAACCUGACAAAAUUAGGGUAGUAUUCGAUUGCAGUGCUGUGUAUAAGAAUGAAUCACUUAAUAAGAAUCUUUUACAAGGUCCGGAUCUGACAAAUAACUUGAUUGGCGUAUUGUGCAGAUUCAGAAAGGAACAUGUAGCAAUUGCAUGUGAUAUAGAAGCAAUGUUCCACCAAGUAAAGGUAAAGCCUGAUCACAGAGACCUACUACGCUUUCUGUGGUGGGAAAAUGGAAAUCCUGAUUCAACUGUCAAAGAAUAUAGAAUGACAGUUCACUUAUUUGGGGCUACAUCUUCUCCAAGUGUAGCAAGUUUUGCACUGAAAGCCACUGCUGAUGAUUAUGCAUGGCAAUGUGGAACAGAAGCCGCCUCCUUUGUUAAAAAUGAAUUUUAUGUAGAUGAUGGGUUAACAUCUUUACCUACAACUGCAGAAGCCAUAGCUUUAAUCAGGAAUAGUAAAGCAUUAUGUUCGAAGGGUGGCUUCAAAUUGCACAAGUUCUUGUCAAAUAAGAAAGAAGUUCUAGAAGCAAUAAGUUUAGAGGAAAAGGCUAAAAGUUUAAAGAACUUAGAUCUCUCUAGUGAAGCCUUACCAAUAGAGAGAACUUUAGGAGUAGAAUGGUGUAUAGAAUCAGAUACGUUCCAGUUCAGAAUUAGUAUUAAUGACAAACCAAUAACUAGAAGAGGUAUAUUGUCAACGGUGAGUUCUGUUUUCGAUCCAAUGGGUAUGGUCUCACCCUUUAUAUUGAUUGGUAAAAGAAUACUUCAAACCUUGUGUCAAGAUGGAGUAGACUGGGAUGAUGACAUAUCAGAUAAUUUGAAACAACAAUGGAGAAGAUGGAGAGAUGAUCUGAUUCAGUUGAAAGAGUUAAAGAUUCCUAGAUGCUACAAGCCUGAUGUGUUUAGAAAGGUCAAAUCAUUGGAACUGCAUCAUUUCUCUGGUGCUAGUCAGCAUGGUUAUGGACAGUGCUCUUAUUUAAGGCAAGUAAGUGAGCAGGGACAAGUUCAUUGUGCACUUGUCAUGUCAAAGUCUAGAGUGACACCAUUGAAGCCCAUAACUGUUCCUAGGUUAGAACUAACAGCUGCAGUCGUAGCUGUUCGAAUUAGCUCUAUGUUAAGGAAGGAGUUAGGUUAUCAGGAAGUAAAGGAAUACUUUUGGACCGAUAGCAAAGUCAUACUUGGCUACAUUUCAAAUGAGGCAAAGAGAUUCCAUGCGUUUGUUGCUAACCGAGUGCAGCAUAUUAAAGACCACUCCUCUAUGGAACAAUGGAAAUUUAUAGAAUCAGCUCAAAAUCCUGCCGAUGCCGCUUCACGUGGAUUGUAUGUAAAGGAGCUGAUUGAACAUUCUCUAUGGUGGAAUGGACCAAAUUUCCUCUGGGAACCUGACCAUGAUGCAAAUCUACCAUUUGUAAAUGUAGAUAUCCAAGAAAAUGAUCCAGAGGUUAAGAAAAUUUCGGCAUAUAAGACCCAAACCAAAGAGAGCACUUCUAUUCUUCCUAGACUUGAAUAUUUUUCUGAUUGGCACAGGGCAAAGAAGGCUGUUGCAUUAUGUUUACGCCUUCAACGUAGAUUCAAGAAUUCUAGAAGAACAGUCAAUGAAGAACUGACUGAAAACAAAGAAUCCAAGUACAUUCCACCUAGUGUAACAGAACUUGUGGAAGCUGAGAAUGAAAUCAUAAGACAAGUCCAAAAUGAAGCUUUCCAAAGGGUGAAACAAGAUUUACAAUGUGCUAACAACGACAAUGAAGAUGCCAGUAAAAGAAACAAACCCUUAAAGAAGGCAAGUUGCAUUUACUCACUUGAUCCCUUCAUAGAUAAAAAUAACAUCUUAAGGGUAGGUGGCAGAAUAAGACAAGCAGAUUUUGCUGCAAGCAAUAAACAUCCAGUAAUUCUGCCAAAGGACUCACAUAUAACAGAAAUGAUAGUGUGUUAUUACCACCGGAAAGUUCAUCACCAAGGAAGAGGAAUCACAUUGAAUGAGUUAAGGGCAUCUGGUUAUUGGAUCAUUGGAGGUUCAUCAGUGGUAGGUAGACAUAUUUCAAAAUGUGUCAUAUGUAAAAAGUUGAGAGGCACAUUUCAAGAACAGAAAAUGUCUGAUUUGCCCCCAGAAAGACUUGAACCUGCCCCCCCCAUUUACAUACUGUGGGGUAGAUUACUUUGGACCAUUCUUUGUUAAACAAGGUCGCAAAGAGGUCAAGAGAUAUGGUGUUUUGUUUACUUGUAUGGCUUCAAGAGCAAUCCAUCUAGAAACAGCAAAUACACUGGAGACUGAUUCAUUCCUCAAUGCAUAUCGACGCUUUAUAGGAAGACGUGGCCCUGUUCGUCAACUCAGAUCAGAUCAGGGCACAAAUUUUGUUGGAGCUAGAAAUGAACUUCAGCAAUGCUUGCAAGAAAUGGAUCAAAAGAAACUAAGAGGGGAGCUUUUAAAGGAGAACUGUGACUGGAUUACAUUUGAAAUGAAUAUCCCUCACGCCAGUCAUAUGGGUGGAGUAUGGGAAAGACAGAUCCGUACUGUGAGGAAUAUACUAACAGCCCUAUUAUACCAUCAUGGCAGACAAUUAGAUGAUGAAUCACUCAGAACCUUUAUGGUUGAAGCAGAGACCAUAGUAAAUAGUCGACCCUUGGCAGUUGACAACAUCAGUUCUCCAUAUUCAUCAGAACCAUUGACACCAAAUCACUUGUUAACAAUGAAAUCAAAGGUUGUGCUACCGCCACCUGGAACAUUCCAAUCUUCUGACCAAUAUUCAAGGAAAAGAUGGCGAAGAGUUCAAUAUCUUGCCAAUGAAUUUUGGAAUAGGUGGAAAAAAGAAUAUGUUCAAUUGCUUCAGUGCAGGAAGAAGUGGCCUUCAGUUACCAAAAAUGUUAAAGUAAAUGAUAUUGUCAUUGUAAAGGAACAAAAUUUACCAAGGAACUCUUGGAAACUUGGUUGUGUAUCUGAGGUUAUACCAAGCAAAGAUGGUCUUGUAAGAAAGGCAAGGAUAACAAUGGCUGAUUCCUCACUUGACGCUUUUGGAAGACGAACGAAAGCAGUCGUUAACCUUGAAAGACCAGUCCACAAACUCAUAUUGUUAGUUGAAUCAUAGUGGAAGUGGGGUGUCCCCGCCAAAGAGCCUAUUCAAAUAUCAAAAUUGUAUUGUUCCUCAGUAGUAUAGAUGUUGAUUCCACAUUUUGCUCAUAUAAGUACAAUGUAAUUAGAGUUUAAGGUAAAUUGUUCAUACAAUUUAGGGGAGCCAUGUUACUGCAGGGACAAAAUGUAUACUUAGUUAUAAACAAUCAGUUCCUAUGCUUUGUGAUAUUACUAACAUUAGGUUAAGUAUGAAAUAGAUGAGUAUACCCUCAUAUCGUUUUCUAAGGUGUACGACAUCUAUAGGGCAUUUGCAUAACUAAUCAUCAUAAACAUUGGGAGCCAUUUUGUUACUCAGAGAAGCCAAGUGAGGUGUCUGAGUUUAACGGAGAUAAUUGGGAAAUAAUUGGACUAGAAAUGGAUGGUAAUGAAUUGCAUGUAAAAAGAAGAAUUCAAGAUGUAUCGAAGAUGCAAUAAAGUACCACAAAAAGA